This 460-nucleotide ribosomal RNA is filed under the name Clostridioides sp. ZZV14-6153. Its description in RNAcentral is "bacterial SSU rRNA". It matches the Rfam family "Bacterial small subunit ribosomal RNA", at positions 338 to 795 of the family's 1533-position model. Lineage: Bacteria; Bacillati; Bacillota; Clostridia; Peptostreptococcales; Peptostreptococcaceae. The record is from RNAcentral.
CCUACGGGGGGCUGCAGUGAGGAAUAUUGGUCAAUGGGCGAGAGCCUGAACCAGCCAAGUAGCGUGAAGGAUGACUGCCCUAUGGGUUGUAAACUUCUUUUAUAAAGGAAUAAAGUCACGUAUGGAUACCCUUUUGUAUGUACUUUAUGAAUAAGGAUCGGCUAACUCCGUGCCAGCAGCCGCGGUAAUACGGAGGAUCCGAGCGUUAUCCGGAUUUAUUGGGUUUAAAGGGAGCGUAGGUGGAUUGUUAAGUCAGUUGUGAAAGUUUGCGGCUCAACCGUAAAAUUGCAGUUGAUACUGGAUAUCUUGAGUGCAGUUGAGGCAGGCGGAAUUCGUGGUGUAGCGGUGAAAUGCUUAGAUAUCACGAAGAACUCCGAUUGCGAAGGCAGCUUACUGGACUGUAACUGACGCUGAUGCUCGAAAGUGUGGGUAUCAAACAGGAUUAGAUACCCUAGUAGUC